This 703-nucleotide ribosomal RNA is filed under the name uncultured Bacteroidales bacterium. RNAcentral describes it as "bacterial SSU rRNA". It matches the Rfam family "Bacterial small subunit ribosomal RNA", at positions 64 to 754 of the family's 1533-position model. Lineage: Bacteria; Pseudomonadati; Bacteroidota; Bacteroidia; Bacteroidales. The record is from RNAcentral.
GAGGGGCAGCAUGGUCUUAGCUUGCUAAGGCUGAUGGCGACCGGCGCACGGGUGAGUAACACGUAUCCAACCUGCCGUCUACUCUUGGCCAGCCUUCUGAAAGGAAGAUUAAUCCAGGAUGGCAUCAUGAGUUCACAUGUCCGCAUGAUUAAAGGUAUUUUCCGGUAGACGAUGGGGAUGCGUUCCAUUAGAUAGUAGGCGGGGUAACGGCCCACCUAGUCAACGAUGGAUAGGGGUUCUGAGAGGAAGGUCCCCCACAUUGGAACUGAGACACGGUCCAAACUCCUACGGGAGGCAGCAGUGAGGAAUAUUGGUCAAUGGGCGAUGGCCUGAACCAGCCAAGUAGCGUGAAGGAUGACUGCCCUAUGGGUUGUAAACUUCUUUUAUAAAGGAAUAAAGUCGGGUAUGCAUACCCGUUUGCAUGUACUUUAUGAAUAAGGAUCGGCUAACUCCGUGCCAGCAGCCGCGGUAAUACGGAGGAUCCGAGCGUUAUCCGGAUUUAUUGGGUUUAAAGGGAGCGUAGAUGGAUGUUUAAGUCAGUUGUGAAAGUUUGCGGCUCAACCGUAAAAUUGCAGUUGAUACUGGAUGUCUUGAGUGCAGUUGAGGCAGGCGGAAUUCGUGGUGUAGCGGUGAAAUGCUUAGAUAUCACGAAGAACUCCGAUUGCGAAGGCAGCCUGCUAAGCUGCAACUGACAUUGAGGCUC